RNAcentral lists this ribosomal RNA (475 nucleotides) under Lactococcus lactis subsp. lactis. RNAcentral describes it as "bacterial SSU rRNA". It matches the Rfam family "Bacterial small subunit ribosomal RNA", at positions 49 to 506 of the family's 1533-position model. The record is from RNAcentral. Lineage: Bacteria; Bacillati; Bacillota; Bacilli; Lactobacillales; Streptococcaceae.
UAAUACAUGCAAGUUGAGCGCUGAAGGUUGGUACUUGUACCGACUGGAUGAGCAGCGAACGGGUGAGUAACGCGUGGGGAAUCUGCCUUUGAGCGGGGGACAACAUUUGGAAACGAAUGCUAAUACCGCAUAAAAACUUUAAACACAAGUUUUAAGUUUGAAAGAUGCAAUUGCAUCACUCAAAGAUGAUCCCGCGUUGUAUUAGCUAGUUGGUGAGGUAAAGGCUCACCAAGGCGAUGAUACAUAGCCGACCUGAGAGGGUGAUCGGCCACAUUGGGACUGAGACACGGCCCAAACUCCUACGGGAGGCAGCAGUAGGGAAUCUUCGGCAAUGGACGAAAGUCUGACCGAGCAACGCCGCGUGAGUGAAGAAGGUUUUCGGAUCGUAAAACUCUGUUGGUAGAGAAGAACGUUGGUGAGAGUGGAAAGCUCAUCAAGUGACGGUAACUACCCAGAAGGGGACGGCUACCUACGU